CUGGAACUGGCAGAAACGGUUCGUGAAUUUAUUCAUUUAAUAUUCUGAUUUUGUAUUGAGCGGAAUAGUCUAGUGUUGAAGUUUCUGAUGAACAUGAAAAAGCGGAAUUCUUUUAGAUAUAUAUGUUCCUGACGACCAAGGUACGAAAUAUGGCAAUUUCCAGAUUCAGCAAGAAAACUGAGCUGCUCGAGAGUAGAUUUGUUCAAAUUAAGGCCCUAAUGCUGUUCUAUAGAAGGUGAAUGAUGCAGAAAAGGAGAGGGCGUUGAGCUGCUGGAAAACCGAGCGUCUCCAAAUUAAGGGUUCAUAGCUGUCCCUGAGGAGGUCUCUAAAGAGAUGAACCUCAGAGAUGAGUUGCUUGGACUACGUGAUGGCAAUGGGUAUUGGGUAUUGACAAUUGUGGAAACGUCCACACUGAAGGUCAUUGUUCUGCCAAGAAACGGU
Coccinella septempunctata (seven-spotted ladybird) is the source of this 441-nucleotide long non-coding RNA. RefSeq lists it as uncharacterized. The record is from RefSeq and is a predicted model, not a curated record. NCBI's taxonomy places the organism in Eukaryota, Metazoa, Arthropoda, Insecta, Coleoptera, Coccinellidae. The transcript has 4 exons.